AUUAAGUAAAGCAGACACAACUUCACACAAACACGAACACUUUCCCUCUUUGAUAAGCUUUAACACAAAAAAAUCUUCUUGUGUACAUCUCGCUGCAAACGGCCAGGCUUUCCAUCAUCGUCUCUGUCUCCAGUCACCAUCGUCGUCUCUAUCUCCAGAUAACAUUGUCGUCUCUGUCUUCGGUCACCAUAGAAGGGACCCCAAGCCCUAAAUGAUAACACACGGCUUAUAAACGAAACCCUAAAUCCAGAGACAAAAAUUCCUAUAAAGAAGCGAUCCUUUGUCUGAUCGAUUGAUUUGCUUGAGAAUCUGGCAAUUGAUGAUGUUGUUGUGUUAUCGAUUGUGCUGCAAGAGGUCAAGAACAAGAAUCUUUCAGUUUAUAACAGAGUUAAAGCCUUGUGCAGCAAUUCUAUGAGGAAGUUCUUUGUUUCCUCUAACGAACAUCACAGCAAUUCGAGUGACAACUCAGUGGUAUCGUAACCAUCUUGGUGGUGCAACAUGGGUCUUAUUAAUCACAAAUGACAGAGAAAAUAAGAGGAAAGCCACUGAAGAGGGAAUUUCUACAGAGACAGGUACCGGGAUCAAGAUUCGGGAUUCACAUCAUGCUUGAAUGAUUUGUAGACUUGAAGUUCUCAUUUCUUAUAAAUGUUGGCUUGAAAUGCCAUUUAUAGAUUUAUAUGUCAAAAUGUGUAAAUUUGAUUCUAUUUAUGUAAUGUGUACAUAAGUAUACUCUUUAGAAUGUAUUUGACAUGUAUGAGAUGAGGCCAUAGGCCAGUGACAUCUAAUUUGUAUCCUAUGUAACUUUUAACUUUAUGAAAUAUUAUGAAAAUAUUGAAAAG
Molecule: long non-coding RNA, 839 nt
Organism: Cornus florida
Lineage: Eukaryota; Viridiplantae; Streptophyta; Magnoliopsida; Cornales; Cornaceae
Exons: 4
Source: RefSeq, a predicted model, not a curated record